This 718-nucleotide ribosomal RNA is filed under the name uncultured Bacteroidales bacterium. RNAcentral's name for it is "bacterial SSU rRNA". It matches the Rfam family "Bacterial small subunit ribosomal RNA", at positions 48 to 753 of the family's 1533-position model. The record is from RNAcentral. Lineage: Bacteria; Pseudomonadati; Bacteroidota; Bacteroidia; Bacteroidales.
UUAACACAUGCAAGUCGAGGGGCAGCAUGGUCUUAGCUUGCUAAGGCUGAUGGCGACCGGCGCACGGGUGAGUAACACGUAUCCAACCUGCCGUCUACUCUUGGCCAGCCUUCUGAAAGGAAGAUUAAUCCAGGAUGGCAUCAUGAGUUCACAUGUCCGCAUGAUUAAAGGUAUUUUCCGGUAGACGAUGGGGAUGCGUUCCAUUAGAUAGUAGGCGGGGUAACGGCCCACCUAGUCAACGAUGGAUAGGGGUUCUGAGAGGAAGGUCCCCCACAUUGGAACUGAGACACGGUCCAAACUCCUACGGGAGGCAGCAGUGAGGAAUAUUGGUCAAUGGGCGAUGGCCUGAACCAGCCAAGUAGCGUGAAGGAUGACUGCCCUAUGGGUUGUAAACUUCUUUUAUAAAGGAAUAAAGUCGGGUAUGCAUACCCGUUUGCAUGUACUUUAUGAAUAAGGAUCGGCUAACUCCGUGCCAGCAGCCGCGGUAAUACGGAGGAUCCGAGCGUUAUCCGGAUUUAUUGGGUUUAAAGGGAGCGUAGAUGGAUGUUUAAGUCAGUUGUGAAAGUUUGCGGCUCAACCGUAAAAUUGCAGUUGAUACUGGAUGUCUUGAGUGCAGUUGAGGCAGGCGGAAUUCGUGGUGUAGCGGUGAAAUGCUUAGAUAUCACGAAGAACUCCGAUUGCGAAGGCAGCCUGCUAAGCUGCAACUGACAUUGAGGCU